Pangasianodon gigas (Mekong giant catfish) is the source of this 72-nucleotide non-coding RNA. The record is from the annotation of a GenBank genome assembly. NCBI's taxonomy places the organism in Eukaryota, Metazoa, Chordata, Actinopteri, Siluriformes, Pangasiidae.
UCCCUGGUGGACUAGUGGGUAGUAUGCAGCGCUCUCACUGCCGCUGCUCGGGUUCGAUUCACGGUCAGUAAG